GGCCACUGGGAGCAUGCCUACAAGGGCAUAUUUUAUCCCCAGUCUUUUCUCUUCUCUGUUCUUCUCUCUCCUCCUCUCCUCUUCUCUUUUUCCCACUCCUCUCAUUUCCCAUCUCCUUCUCCCCAGGCUGCCAUGAAGAGAGAAGUUCUGCCAUAACACAUCUUCUCCACCAUGAUGUUAUGCCUUGUCACAGGCUUGAAAGCAAUGGAACCAUUUGACUAUGAACUGAAACCUCCGAAAGUAUGAGCCAAAAUAAACCUUUAUUCCUUUAAGUAGUUUUUAUCUGGUAUUUUUGUCAUAGCAAUGAAAGUUGACUAAUAGAUCUUACACUCAGUGGGCUGGUGCUGUAGCUCAGGGGCAGAGCAUUUAACUGUAGGUGUGAGGUCUUAGGUUCAAUCCCCACUGCUGAAAAAAGAAAAUUCAGAGAUAAAAAGUGAAGCGAAAGAAAUAUCAUGCAGGAAUAAUCAUAAACCAAAGAGGUGAGGUAGGUUUAAGUGAUACAGUGUUUAGAUGGCAACUUUGGGCCAUGUGGUUAUACAAGUGAGCUGACACACCACUAGAUCCUAUUUAGAAGUUGCUGUACUUAUCCUCCAGCACCUGGAGAAUAAGUCUAUGGCCAGAAGCUUAAACCUCAACUUCAGGAGGAUUGUCCUUGGCUGAUAGGAGAUGACUAUGAGACAAUCAACCAUGGGUUGAUACAGUAGAGAAAAACCUGUUCCCUUACUUAAAAUCUGACCACCCAUAAGGAGUAACUAACUUAUGCUCAAGACCCACCUUGACCAUUAUAAUCCACAGGUCAAUCCAAGACUAGACAUUACCUAAAACCACAUCUAAGACUCCAUUUUGAUAUCUGUUUCCUUUCCUUUUCCUGCAUUUCUCCCUUUUCUAAUUUUUUCUUACGUCUGUUUCUAGGAAACCCAAACCAAGACAGCAGUAAAGGAGAACCUCUUUUGAUAUGAUACAUAUGCUGGGAAAUGAGUGAUAAGAAAUAACCAGACCUGUAAACCUCUGAUGGAACAAGCUCCACAUGCUGAAAGAACCAAGAGAUCAUGGGUGCUGAGCAUUAAAAAAGAAGGAGAGUUUAGGAAGAGGUAUGUCUGAGACUUUAAGGUCUAAACCUAGAUCUCAUAGGAUAGGAGCCCUGUCUCAGGGAUUUUAGUCAAAGUAUAAUGGGAAACAGGAAGUUUUUGGAAGUUGAGAAUUCUGACUUGUAUUUUAAAAGAAUACCUCCAGAGAUCAGAUAAUCCUGAGGUCAAAGUAGAAGCAGGGAGACCUGUUAUGAUACUUUGUAAGCAGGGACCUUGAUUUGGACAAGUAACAUCUAUUUUAUCUGUUAUAUGCUAGGCAAUUUACAUAUAUUCCUGAAUUCUACUAGCAGCUCUGUUAGGUGAAUGCCAUUUUAGAGGUGAGGAAACUGAGUUUUAGUUUUCUUAAGUGGCUAAUGUGAAAUUACACAGCUGUAGGUGGUAUAUCUAGGAUUUAAACCAGACUAUCUGCCUCUGAAAUCU
This 1508-nucleotide long non-coding RNA is filed under the name Marmota monax (woodchuck). The record is from RNAcentral. Lineage: Eukaryota; Metazoa; Chordata; Mammalia; Rodentia; Sciuridae.